GAGGGUAUAGCUCAGUGGUAGAGUGCCUGCCUAGCAUGCACAAAGUCCUGGGCGCAAUCCUCAGUAGCUCCA
This is a transfer RNA of Camelus ferus (Wild Bactrian camel), 72 nucleotides long. It matches the Rfam family "tRNA". Rfam says of the family: Transfer RNA (tRNA) molecules are approximately 80 nucleotides in length. Their secondary structure includes four short double-helical elements and three loops (D, anti-codon, and T loops). The record is from Rfam. Lineage: Eukaryota; Metazoa; Chordata; Mammalia; Artiodactyla; Camelidae.